AUGUUAACCUGUAAUUUCUGUGGUAAGGUAGUUCAGUCAUCAAGGGGCUACGUGCUUCAUUGUAAACUGCAUCGGAAUGAGCCACGUUGUUUCUUUCGGUGUAUUGAAGCAGGCUGCAAGCAGACAUACACCAGGUAUGGCUCGUUUAAGGCUCAUUUUUACCGAAGACACUGUGCCCCCACCCAUGUCACUGGUGUGGCGGUGGUUUCUUCGUUUGCAUGUGCAAUGGCGAUGUGUCAACGUCAGUGUCAGAACUCCAAAGAGUUAAUAGCUCAUCUGAAGAGCCAUAUUGUGGAAGGACACGUGGUCACUUGUCCAGUAAGAGGAUGCACAAAUACCUUUAGAGUUAAAUCAUCUUUUACUGCUCACAUGUCUCGUAAACACAGAGAGUUUUCAGACAGCAGCAUUGGUAAUUUAUAUAGAGAGUCUGCAUGUCAAUCAUCAUCUGUUCCAACCACAUCAGAUGACUUUGUACCCUUGAUUUCCGAGCCUGCUGCACAGUCUAUUACAGAUGAAGAUAACAUGGAAAUGCCCCCUGAAUUCUGUGAUCUUUUUCUGAGAAACGUUUUACUAUUCUACUUAAAAUUGCAGGGUCAGUUUCUACUGCCUGCUUCAACCAUACAGAACAUUGUGGAGGAAAUGCAGAACAUACAUGAGUUGGGACAGACAUACAGUUUGGGUAAACUUGCAUCACUGUUAAAAGAUGACACAUCAUUAUCAGAGGAGGACAUCAACAAAGUCUGCGAGUCUGUCAAAAGCUAUGAUCUUUUUUCUGCAUGUCAUACCGGGCCAUUGAGGACAGUGCACUCCAGAGCUCAGACCUUUAAAAAAGCCUUCAACUAUGUGGAACCAAAGAAAAUAUUUUUAGGGAGAGAUGAAAACAGAAAAGAUAGGUUUGCCUAUUAUGUGCCUUUAAGAGAGACUUUGAGAUGUCUGCUAGAGUCUGAUCUGUGGCAGAAAUCAGAAGAGCCCUCUACUGAGCCUCCUGCUGAUGUUCUGUGUGACAUAAGUGAUAGUAAGCUGUUUAAAUCAAAUGAUUUUUUUGGUCAAAACCCAUCAUGUCUCAAGCUAGUACUCUACCAGGAUGCCUUUGAAGUUGUUAACCCUUUAGGCUCUGCAAGGACAAAACACAAGGUAUUAGCUGUAUAUGCAUCAGUGGCAAACUUGCCACUUCAUGUACGCUCAGACACAGAUCACAUGUCUCUUGUCUUACUGUGCAGGGAGAAAGAUUUUAAAGAGUUUGGUCAUGCUAAUGUGUUCUCUGAAUUACUGGCAGACUUGAAAGAAUUGGAGGACAGUGGGAUUGUUGCAUCAGAUGAAACUAGAGUCAAAGGAACUUUGUUUUGCAUUGCUGGUGAUAAUCUGGGCUCUCACUGUAUUGGUGGCUUCACUGAAAACUUUAGUUCUUCAAAGUACUUCUGCAGGUACUGCCUGAUAACGAAAUCUGAAUUUCAGGGUGCUGACCCAAAUCUGUGUGGACCAGAACGUACCAAAGAGAACUACAACUCUGCUGUUGAUCGCCUCCAGAUUGACAACACACCAGACGUCGAAGGAGUGAAGUUCAGGUCAGUGUUCAAUUCACUGAAAUACUUCAACGUUUGUAUGCCAGGCUUGCCACCAUGUCUAGGUCAUGAUAUCUUUGAGGGAGUUUUGGCUUAUGAUGUGGCACUGUAUCUGAAAUACUUCAUAAAGACAAAAGCAUGGUUCACUUACUCCACUCUGAACCGACGCAUCAAACAGUUUAGUUACCAUGCCUCUGAUGCUUCUACAAAGCCAUCUGAGGUCAGUCCUCAAGCAGCUAAACUCUCAGGACAGGCUAUACAGAACUGGAACUUCCUCCGAUUGCUGCCUCUCAUAGUUGGUGACAUAGUGACAGACCCCACAGAUGAUGUGUGGAACUUAACUCUGCAGCUGAAAGAUAUUGUAGACAUGGUGUGUGCUCAGAAAAUUUCAGUGGCUCAGGUAGCAUAUCUUGAUAUUCUUAUUCAAGAAUAUUUAGAGUCAAGAAAAGCUCUGUUCCCAGAAUGCAACCUGAGACCAAAACACCAUUUUCUACGCCAUUACCCAGCACUGAUUCUGAAAUUUGGCCCACUGAUAAGAUUAUGGACAAUGCGCUUUGAAAGUAAGCGCAGUUAUUUCAAGAGGUGUGCCAGAAAUCUGAAAAACUUCAAAAACCUCUGCCAUACACUCUCUGAAAGACAUCAGAUGUUUCAAGCCUAUCUUGCAGCAGGGUCAUUGUGUCAGUCUGUCUUGAAAGUCAAAGAUGGUUCUCCAUUUUACUCAGUGCUGUACAGUAAAGCCAUUCAAGAAGCAGUUCAAAUGUUUGACUUAAAUGAAACCAAUACAAAGGUCACAGUAGAAAUGAUGUACAAGGGAACACAGUACAAGAAAGGACACUUCCUUGUCACAGGGGGCUCUGACUCUGUUGAGUUUGGUGAAGUAGUUCUCAUUUUGAUUAAGAAUGACAGUGUUUAUUUUCUGGUGUCGGUGCACGUGACAGAAUACCAUUCUCAGUAUCAUCUGCACUCAGUGAGAAAGGAAAAAGAAAAGAUGCAGUGUGUGAACAUCAUUGACUUAAUUGAUUUCUAUCCAUUAACAUCUUACAUGAAGUAUGGGUACCAAAUGGUUCCAUUGAAACACAGUGUGCUGUCACAAUAA
This 2658-nucleotide long non-coding RNA is filed under the name Oreochromis niloticus (Nile tilapia). RNAcentral describes it as "lncRNA (ENSONIG00000029422.1)". The record is from RNAcentral. Lineage: Eukaryota; Metazoa; Chordata; Actinopteri; Cichliformes; Cichlidae.